Molecule: ribosomal RNA, 377 nt
Filed under: uncultured bacterium
Lineage: Bacteria
Description: bacterial SSU rRNA
Rfam family: Bacterial small subunit ribosomal RNA
Source: RNAcentral
AUACGUAGGGUGCGAGCGUUGUCCGGAAUUACUGGGCGUAAAGAGCUCGUAGGUGGUUUGUCGCGUUGUUCGUGAAAACUCACAACUCAAUUGUGGGCGUGCGGGCGAUACGGGCAGACUAGAGUACUGCAGGGGAGACUGGAAUCCCUGGUGUAGCGGUGGAAUGCGCAGAUAUCAGGAGGAACACCGGUGGCGAAGGCGGGUCUCUGGGCAGUAACUGACGCUGAGGAGCGAAAGCGUGGGGAGCGAACAGGAUUAGAUACCCUGGUAGUCCACGCCGUAAACGGUGGGUACUAGGUGUGGGUUCCUUCCUUGGGAUCCGUGCCGUAGCUAACGCAUUAAGUACCCCGCCUGGGGAGUACGGCCGCAAGGCUAAA